AAUGAACGCUGGCGGCGUGGAUUAGGCAUGCAAGUCGUGCGCGAAAGCCUUCGGGUGAGUAAAGCGGCGAACGGGUGAGUAACACGUAACCAACCUGCCCCUCAGAUCGGGAUAACUGCUGGAAACGGCAGCUAAUACCGAAUGGUCCCGGAUGAUGGCAUCAAAAACCGGGUAAACGGCGGCUUCGGCCGUUGCUGAGGGAGGGGGUCGCGGGCUAUUAGCUAGUUGGUGGGGUAAAGGCCUACCAAGGCAAUGAUGGCUAGCCGGUCUGAGGAGGACCGACCGGUCACACGUGGGACUGA
Molecule: ribosomal RNA, 302 nt
Filed under: uncultured bacterium
Lineage: Bacteria
Description: bacterial SSU rRNA
Rfam family: Bacterial small subunit ribosomal RNA
Source: RNAcentral